AGCAGCCGCGGUAAUUCCAGCUCCAAUAGCGUAUAUUAAAGUUGUUGCAGUUAAAAAGCUCGUAGUUGAAUUUCGGGAUUUAUCCGUCGGUCGGGCUUUUGGGUCUGUACUGGCGUGAUGGAUUCCUACCUUCUGAAUAACCGGCAUGUCAUUAAUUUGGUGCGCUGGGGAAGCAGGACUGUUACCUUGAAAAAAUUAGAGUGCUUAAAGCAGGCUAUUGCCUGAAUACAUUAGCAUGGAAUAAUGAAAUAGGACGGCAUGGUUCUAUUUUGUUGGUUUCUAGGAUCACCGUAAUGAUUAAUAGGGAUAGUUGGGGGCAUUAGUAUUCAAUUGUCAGAGGUGAAAUUCUUGGAUUUAUUGAAGACUAACUUCUGCGAAAGCAUUUGCCAAGGAUGUUUUCAUUAAUCA
This 408-nucleotide ribosomal RNA is filed under the name uncultured Acaulospora. RNAcentral describes it as "SSU rRNA". It matches the Rfam family "Eukaryotic small subunit ribosomal RNA", at positions 569 to 979 of the family's 1831-position model. The record is from RNAcentral. Lineage: Eukaryota; Fungi; Glomeromycota; Glomeromycetes; Diversisporales; Acaulosporaceae.